This 253-nucleotide ribosomal RNA is filed under the name uncultured bacterium. RNAcentral's name for it is "partial 16S ribosomal RNA". It matches the Rfam family "Bacterial small subunit ribosomal RNA", at positions 524 to 776 of the family's 1533-position model. The record is from RNAcentral.
UACAGAGGGUGCUAGCGUUGUUCGGAAUCAUUGGGCGUAAAGGGCGUGUAGGCGGUUUGUUAAGUCAUGUGUGAAAUCCCUCGGCUCAACCGGGGAAGGACGCAUGAAACUGGCAAGCUAGAGUACCAAAGAGGGGGGUGGAAUUCCCGGUGUAGCGGUGAAAUGCGCAGAUAUCAGGAGGAACACCAAUUGCGAAGGCAGCUCGCUGGGACGUUACUGACGCUGAGACGCGAAAGCGUGGGGAGCAAACAGG